UCCCUGGUGGCUCAGAGGUUAAAGCGUCUGCCUAGAAUGCAGGAGACCUGGGUUUGAUCCCUGGGUUGGGAA
Ovis aries (sheep) is the source of this 72-nucleotide transfer RNA. It matches the Rfam family "tRNA". Rfam says of the family: Transfer RNA (tRNA) molecules are approximately 80 nucleotides in length. Their secondary structure includes four short double-helical elements and three loops (D, anti-codon, and T loops). The record is from Rfam. NCBI's taxonomy places the organism in Eukaryota, Metazoa, Chordata, Mammalia, Artiodactyla, Bovidae.